This 207-nucleotide ribosomal RNA is filed under the name uncultured bacterium. Its description in RNAcentral is "partial 16S ribosomal RNA". It matches the Rfam family "Bacterial small subunit ribosomal RNA", at positions 568 to 774 of the family's 1533-position model. The record is from RNAcentral.
CGCGUAGGUGGUUCUGUGUGUCUACCGUGAAAGCGUACGGCUCAACCGUAUUUUGUCGGUAGAAACUGCAGGACUUGAGGCUGGGAGGGGCUGGUGGAAUUCCCUGUGUAGCGGUGAAAUGCGUAGAGAUGGGGGAGAACACUCGUGGCGAAGGCGGCCAGCUAGACCAGUUCUGACACUGAGGCGCGACAGCGUGGGGAGCAAACA